ACCGUAGUAAUUCUAGGGCUAAUACGUGCGAAGCGCCCGAAGCCGCGAGGCGACGGGCGUUCUCGCCGGAUGUAGGAACCGACCCGGGGACCGCCGGGGCAACCCGGCGCCCCCGAGACGGGGCGAACCACGGUGAAAUGACGGAUCGUCGGCCCCGCGCCGGCGACUCGCCGAAUGAGUUUCUGACCUAUCAACUCGAGACGGCGGGGUAGAGGCCCGCCGCGGUAACGACGGGUAACGGGGAAUCCGCAAGGCGCGUCGUGAUGGGGAUUGAACGUUGCAAUUGUUGUUCACGAACGAGGAAUUCCUAGUAGGCGCGGGUCAUCAACCCGCGCCGAUUACGUCCCUGCCCUUUGUACACACCGCCCGUCGCUCCUACCGAUCGAACGGUCCGGUGAGGACCCAGGACGGCGCGGGACCCGAGGGGCCGAAAAGGCUCCGCGACCCGUGUCGGAAUCCGUCCGAACCUUACCGUUUAGAGGAAGGAGAAGUCGU
This 495-nucleotide ribosomal RNA is filed under the name uncultured eukaryote. RNAcentral describes it as "bacterial SSU rRNA". It matches the Rfam family "Eukaryotic small subunit ribosomal RNA", at positions 1194 to 1792 of the family's 1831-position model. The record is from RNAcentral.